Musa acuminata AAA Group (dessert banana) is the source of this 895-nucleotide long non-coding RNA. RefSeq lists it as uncharacterized. The record is from RefSeq and is a predicted model, not a curated record. The transcript has 4 exons. NCBI's taxonomy places the organism in Eukaryota, Viridiplantae, Streptophyta, Magnoliopsida, Zingiberales, Musaceae.
ACCAACGGGAAUAAAGCGUGACCGAAUACGUUAUCCUCUGCUUCUUCCCUUCCACUCUCCGCUCUUUCCCCUUCUCUCCCCUCUCCGUCAAACCCUACUUUUUUGCAAGCAGAUCUCUCGUCUUAAUUACACUGACAUCCUCGUCUUAAUUCCUCGAUCGAUUAAUCUCGAUUGCGAAAUCCUUGCGUGAUCGAAUUGCCGGAAUCCUUGUUAUCAUCUUCUUCUUUCGUUACGGUGAGUCGAUGAUGUCUUCGUGAUAUUGAGUGUGGGGCUUCGCUGUUCUUGUUGGACCCUCUUUUUCUUUGGACAGGGUUUGAGUCGGGAGCGUUGCGGUCGCUCCUGUUUCUGAUCUCCGUCGGAUGGAGCCUCGCGUGGGGGACAAGUUCCGCCUUGGUCGCAAGAUCGGGAGCGGUUCCUUUGGAGAGAUCUAUUUAGGAAUUAAUAUCCAAACAAACGAAGAGGUUGCCAUAAAGCUCGCUUUCUACUGUUCCAUCAUACAAGACAAAGAUGUGCAUCUAUUACGGAAAGAAGAAAUCUUGGAAUACUGUCAAGAAAAUGCCACAUGAGUCAUCUGGUUUUAGUUAUCUGAUGCAAGCUCAUUUCAGGCCACGUCACAAUCGAGGUCAUGCCACGCUACAGUCAAGUCAGUAAGGGGAGCACCCUCACACACUGAGCCAAAGAUCAUACUAAGACGCUGCUCGGUAUGUCCCGACCCGGUAAGCCCGGGACGGCGGCCGCAUAAGUGUACCGUCUCAUCUCUCGAGGAUCGAUCGUCAUGUCAAAUCCGCGUACGAUCAACCCUCGUACAAUAGUAUAAAAGCUCAUGGCAGCAUCUGGCCCAAGGGGAAAAAAGGAAAAAAGAGAACUUCACACUGAUUGAUUGAUUGAUGGGUCA